Molecule: ribosomal RNA, 236 nt
Filed under: uncultured Staphylococcus sp.
Lineage: Bacteria; Bacillati; Bacillota; Bacilli; Caryophanales; Staphylococcaceae
Description: partial 16S ribosomal RNA
Rfam family: Bacterial small subunit ribosomal RNA
Source: RNAcentral
GGGUGAGUAACACGUGGAUAACCUACCUAUAAGACUGGGAUAACUUCGGGAAACCGGAGCUAAUACCGGAUAAUAUUUUUAACCGCAUGGUUCAAAAGUGAAAGACGGUCUUGCUGUCACUUAUAGAUGGAUCCGCGCUGCAUUAGCUAGUUGGUAAGGUAACGGCUUACCAAGGCAACGAUGCAUAGCCGACCUGAGAGGGUGAUCGGCCACACUGGAACUGAGACACUGUCCAG